UUUUGAGCAGAAAAUUCCAUUCAUAUUUGUGGGUUUCAUGUGAUACACGAGAGCAUAUCUGAUUUGAUUGCCAAUGUUGUUGCACAUACAAACAUCAAACAGCCAAUCUGGUACAUACAUAUUUGGAGUUUUUCAUUUUGAAUCAAUUUAUGUGAAUGUGAUCAGCAGUAGCGCCAACGUUUUCAUAACUCAGUGGUAAGAACAUUUACAUGCGAAUUAGUGAUAGCUUGGCGAGAAAAUGUUGAAAUUAGUACUUAUGGCAGAGAUAUAUCACAUAUGUCUACCCUUAAAUUCAUUGUUUCAAUUGAUGAUAUAUAUAUUUACAGACCCCAAACUGCUGGUGAUGGUCCAGUUUUUACAAGUUUGGUUCGGGACUAUUAUAUUAACUUUUAGAGUGAAGUCGAUAUAGGCCCUUACAACUCUUAUAUCCCAAACAUAAAUCCACUUAUAAUUAAACCUCUAACUAAAAUCCAAGUAUUAUUAACUAAAUUACAUUAUAUGCUAUUUACCUUUAUAUUUUAUAAUUAUAAUUUAUUUUGAAGUAUGUCAUUAAC
Molecule: long non-coding RNA, 554 nt
Filed under: Prunus persica (peach)
Lineage: Eukaryota; Viridiplantae; Streptophyta; Magnoliopsida; Rosales; Rosaceae
Description: long non-coding RNA (PPER_LNC007454)
Source: RNAcentral